UUGAGCAAAGCGCCAGCACACAAGUGAGAGGGGGAGACCUACUUUAUGAAUUUAUGAGUGUAGACUUGUGAUGCUAAUGUAGCCGUUCCGGCUUAAUCCUUGGUGCACCUCGUUUUUCGGGUAAUCCGAGAAUGAGAAAGGGGAGGGCAAACAAAUCCCUUUUUAAACCCCCACAAAACAUCAUCAGACAUAAACUACACAUCUGCCUGUCUAUACAAUGGCAAGAGCAAGACAUUGCACUAUUUGCAACUGUUUUUGUUGAUUCAUUCUCCUAUGUAAAGCUCCAAUCUUUGCCAUCCUCUUUCUGAGCCAAUUAGGGUUUUUGUUUUUUUGAGCUGUUUUGCCAUGGCAUUCAGGCCCCAAUUUUUCCCUAGGUUGUUUUAUCCCCCCAAGAGGCCAGAUCAAGAACCGGGAGCAAUGGUUGCUUCAGAGAUCUCGGGCAGUUCAGCGUUAACGCCUGGAGGAUUUUGCAGUUUGCUGUGGUUGGACAUGUAGAGUGAUAAGUACAUUGUUGUUGUUGUUGAAGUAAGGAAUGAAGCCAUCGGUCCGUGUAGCAUAUUAAUAGCUGUAUUUAACUUACAGUUGCUGAUUUGCUAUAGCUCAAUUUAUGUUGUAUGAAAUUUUUCUUCAUUUUUUUUUUGGUUUGGGUUUUCUUUCUAGUUAUCCUGGAACUUGUAGUGGUGUUUGAAGUUUGCACAUUGUGCAAUCUUGGACCUAUGUAGUAUCUGUUGGCAUGGGAAUUUGCUUUUCAGCAGGGAAUGUAGUCUCAUGUUGUCUUGUGGGUUGCUUAUGAUUAAUUUAUAUUGGUUUAUCUGUUAA
This is a long non-coding RNA of Ipomoea triloba (trilobed morning glory), 819 nucleotides long. RefSeq lists it as uncharacterized. The transcript is spliced from 2 exons. NCBI's taxonomy places the organism in Eukaryota, Viridiplantae, Streptophyta, Magnoliopsida, Solanales, Convolvulaceae. The record is from RefSeq and is a predicted model, not a curated record.